RNAcentral lists this non-coding RNA (183 nucleotides) under Limosilactobacillus secaliphilus. RNAcentral's name for it is "Lactobacillus secaliphilus Lysine sequence". It matches the Rfam family "Lysine riboswitch aptamer". From Rfam's summary of the family: Riboswitches are metabolite binding domains within certain messenger RNAs that serve as precision sensors for their corresponding targets. Lineage: Bacteria; Bacillati; Bacillota; Bacilli; Lactobacillales; Lactobacillaceae. The record is from Rfam by way of RNAcentral.
AGCAUUCGAAGAGGCGCGACCAACAAAAGUAGCGGUUACGAGUCGGGAUCAGAUGAAGACCAAUCGUGAAAGGGGCGGUCGCCGAGGUGAUAAGCAUGAUCAACACUUAUUUAACCGGGUCGUGAUUUAAGAGAUUACGGACUGUCGUAGGCUACAGAGGUUUACGGUGCGCUAUCGAGGACA